GUCACAAAGCAAAAAGCAACUAACUUUCCAGAACUUUCGAGCUUCUUCACGGGCGCAUGGUGUAUGGCCUAUGUCUCAGUUGCAGGCCAGCAAGCACCUGCCUGGCGCCGCUAUGCCUGCCUCAACCGAAAAAAGCCACCCAAAAGUGGGCAGCGUCGGCCGCCGACAAACACCAUGCGAUGCAUGUAAUAUGUUUUGUCCACGUGUCUAUAUAUUGCUGCCUGCGGACACGCCUAUUGCGUGGGAUGUCCUGUCGUUCAACAGGAAGAACACGGUCAACUCCGUGUUAUGUGCAACGAGUGCAAACGGAGAAUGAUUGCAGACCUCAUUGAGAUGAAGGACCAAUUGGUCGUGCGCAAUCUACCUUUUGCAUGUGCCCCGGUCGGGUCCUUGUGAUGCCUGCAACACGUUUUCUCCACGAGUGAAUCUCUGCGCAUGCGGGCAUGCCUUCUGUACUGGAUGCGCAAUUGUUCACAAAGAGGAAGAAGGUGCAGGGUUGAAGGCGUUCUGUCUCGAGUGCAAAAAAAAAGUCACUACUGAUCUCAUCGAGAUAAAGCCAAGUUUGCUUCGACAGAUGCGUUUCGUGUGUUCCUGCGGAAGGGAGGGGACGCUCGAGCAAAUAAAGGAGCAUCUGUGGGAGUCUGCAGAGUCUCACGAUGUGACUGACGUAGCCUCAAAAGGAUCAAUAGAUGGUCCGUUUGGAGCGGAGAGCUUACUUCACAGUCUACGCGAUGAGGUGGUAAGUCUGAAAUUGCAACUACGCACUCUGGUUGGCGUAGCAACCAAGAAAUACUUCUGGGUCGAUUUGCAGAAGAUCAUAGACGAACACGAGAAGUAAAGACAGAAGACCAUCACGAGUAACGUUGAGCCCUGGGAGGUGUGCGGAUACGCCUGCGGAUUCUUCUGUCAAAUCAGCGAACAUGACAAUGAGUGUUAUGUCGACGUGUUCGUCAGGACCAUGUCUAAUAACACUUCGCUCUCACCGUGGCCGAUGAAGAAGAGGUGCAUUUUUGCACUAUAUGAUAUCAGCGGCCGCGAAGUGAAAACUCAUCUGUCACUCUUCUUCCAGAACGGCAACCCGAUGAACUCAUGCUUUAUUGGCCCGGCGUAUGAAGUUGUUGCUGGUUUCGGUCCGACUAAGUUUGUUCGAGUGGCCGAUAUUCGCGACAGGUCGGAUGAAUUACUCUUUGAAGGACGAGCCUGCUUUUCGGCAGAACUUCCAAGAACCGUAAGAAUAUUGCUACAUGGAAACUAAAACGAUUAUCGGUGUGUUUUGGUGUAUCAGGUGCAGGCAAAUGAUAAUCAAAUAAAAUUUGCGUUUCGCCAACAUCGUUGAAAAUUUGAGAAUACUAUCAAGUAAUGUGAA
Molecule: long non-coding RNA, 1366 nt
Filed under: Varroa destructor (honeybee mite)
Lineage: Eukaryota; Metazoa; Arthropoda; Arachnida; Mesostigmata; Varroidae
Description: uncharacterized LOC111255091, transcript variant X2
Source: RNAcentral